RNAcentral lists this small nuclear RNA (21 nucleotides) under Arabidopsis thaliana (thale cress). RNAcentral's name for it is "snRNA_18253". The record is from RNAcentral. Lineage: Eukaryota; Viridiplantae; Streptophyta; Magnoliopsida; Brassicales; Brassicaceae.
UAGGAGGGCGCGGCGGUCGCU